RNAcentral lists this small RNA (1159 nucleotides) under Pan troglodytes (chimpanzee). RNAcentral describes it as "retained intron". The record is from RNAcentral. Lineage: Eukaryota; Metazoa; Chordata; Mammalia; Primates; Hominidae.
CGCCAGUGAAGGCAGGAGGAGGGUUAUGAGGUGUCCCACUCCUGUGUGGCUGGGGAAGGUGCUCAGGAGGGGAUGGGAUGGGCCUGGCUCGCCCUCACCCGGGCUCUAGCCCCUCUCUGUCGACCCUCCCCACUCCGGCCUGGCCUGUAGUUUGACCCUGAGCUGGUGCUGGUCUCGGCAGGAUUUGACUCAGCCAUCGGGGACCCUGAGGUGAGGGCCUUGCCUUGCCAGGGAGGGCUUCUGGGGUCCUGGGGCCCAGGUCCCCCGUCACACAUGGCUCUGGUUCCAGGGGCAAAUGCAGGCCACGCCAGAGUGCUUCGCCCACCUCACACAGCUGCUGCAGGUGCUGGCCGGCGGCCGGGUCUGCGCCGUGCUGGAGGGCGGCUACCACCUGGAGUCACUGGCGGAGUCAGUGUGCAUGACAGUACAGACGCUGCUGGGUGACCCGGCCCCACCCCUGUCAGGGCCAAUGGUGCCAUGUCAGAGGUGCGAGGGGAGGUAGGGCGGGCAGGGCUGGGGUGUGAGACCAGGUGUCACGACUGUUGUGUCUCCCCCACAGUGCCCUAGAGUCCAUCCAGAGUGCCCGUGCUGCCCAGGCCCCGCACUGGAAGAGCCUCCAGCAGCAAGGUCAGUGUGGCCGGGUGCUAGGCUGCAGGAUCCCACCUCGGGCUCCCGUGCAGUGGCUAUGACUCCGAACUGUCCCUAGAUGUGACCGCUGUGCCGAUGAGCCCCAGCAGCCACUCCCCAGAGGGGAGGCCUCCACCUCUGCUGCCUGGGGGUCCAGUGUGUAAGGCAGCUGCAUCUGCACUGAGCUCCCUCCUGGACCAGCCGUGCCUCUGCCCCGCACCCUCUGUCCGCACCGCUGUUGCCCUGACAACGCCGGAUAUCACAUUGGUUCUGCCCCCUGACGUCAUCCAACAGGAAGCGUCAGCCCUGAGGGAGGAGACAGAAGCCUGGGCCAGGUGAACAGUGGUAUAGCAGCCACUCCAGCCUCUGCUGCAGCAGCCACCCUGGAUGUGGCUGUUCGGAGAGGCCUGUCCCACGGAGCCCAGAGGCUGCUGUGCGUGGCCCUGGGACAGCUGGACCGGCCUCCAGACCUCGCCCAUGACGGGAGGAGUCUGUGGCUGAACAUCAGGGGCAAGGAGGCGGCUGCCCUAUC